Molecule: long non-coding RNA, 936 nt
Filed under: Anser cygnoides (Swan goose)
Lineage: Eukaryota; Metazoa; Chordata; Aves; Anseriformes; Anatidae
Description: lncRNA (ENSACDG00005001537.1)
Source: RNAcentral
AACAGGAGAGAGAAUCUAUUGCUACAGGUUAAUCAGCCAUAAGCGGGGCUUUUUGACAAUGGAACCGUCUCAGCAAGAAGUGUAGUGCUGGGUGAAUUAAGCCAGUAGGAACCCAGCUGUGAAGCAGAGGAAGCCAAGGGUGAUGAAGAGCUCUGCAAGUUGGUUCAUUUUCUGGCAAUGAGCAGGGUUAGCUGGCUGCACUGGGACUGCUGCCUUGCAUAACCUACUUCUUCUCCAAGUGGUAGUCCAGCAGGUAGUGAGGUCAAACGGCUUAGUAACUGGAAAUAGCAGCCCUCCUCUCCCCCCUUGGAGAACAAAAUUAUUUUUUUCAGGGUGAUGCUGAUGCUACCCAGUGUGGGAAGGCCACGCUCCAGCUGGAGAAAGCCCUGAGGGAUUCUGGCAAGCUUCUUUCCUUCCUAUAGGACAGAAGUGCCUGUGUGAAACAAGGGUAUCCAACAGCACCCGUGUUGUAAGGCCUGAGCUGAGUUACCUGCUGGGAUGUCGAGGAAGCUCAUGGCCCCAUGAUAAAAUGUUUGUGAAGAUGGGCACCGCCUCCUGAAAGGCUGAGGCCAGGAGCUGAUGGUGGUGCCUUUUGAUAUCUGUGCCCUAUGAAGUACCAUGCACGGCAACACCAGAGGCUGGAUGAAGAAGGCUUACUUAGCUGUGGUUGUACGUGAAUGCUUCCAUAAAUAAGGACUCACUUGCAUGCAACAGCAAAUUUUUGCUGUUUUAAUCCACUUAGCUACCCUCAACACCAGAGCUGUGGGGGUAAACAGCAACUAGAGAUGAGGUGGCACUGUUCAUGAGGCACGCCAAACCCCUAGUGUGUUGCACCCAAAGCCCUGUUAAAGGAGUGUUAUUAAGGUUCCUAAUUCAAGCACUUAAAAUUUAGUAAAUGCCUCCCCCUUGUGCAUGUGCAUUAGGAUACAGCUUGUA